RNAcentral lists this unclassified non-coding RNA (1995 nucleotides) under Leishmania donovani. RNAcentral describes it as "gene:LdHU3.22.1880(CDS-product:i/6_autoantigen-li ke_protein)". The record is from RNAcentral. Lineage: Eukaryota; Euglenozoa; Kinetoplastea; Trypanosomatida; Trypanosomatidae.
GAGUUUUCGCUUGAACAAACGCAACAGGAAAAGGAUCUCAUCUAGGGUCAUCAUUUGACUUUGCACUUACUUUCUUGCCUCUUUUCAUUGCCAACAACGAUGCUGAUCUCUACGAGGGAUGCUUUCGAGAAGCGCCACAUCACCCGCGAGGAUGGCAUAGAGGUGUUGCCUCGUCAAAUGAUCACAGUGGCCGCUCUCGAGGCUGGCUACUGCCUGUCCUCGCCCACGAUUGGCGAGGCGGUGAGCAAGACCACGUAUCCUGGUCAGAUGACUGCCUACGAGUUCACCGAGUUCUGCGAAGAUAACAAGUCAUCGCUAAUGUCGGCUGAGGACAUGGCGAAAUGUGUUGUUGUGGUGGCCCCGGCGCAUGUUAUCACACGCAGGUCGCUGGAGGAAAUCAUGGCCAAGGGCAGCUCCAAGAAAGAUGCCCUCUCCGACGAGGAGGUGGACGCUCUCUUUAGCACCCUAGACACUGAAAACAAGGGUGCUAUCACUGACAAAGACUUCAUGCGUGCUCUUUAUGGUGACCUGGGUGUGCGCUGCCUUGCGGCGCGCCGCAAGCUGGACGCAUUGGAGGCUAAGCGUCGCGAGCAGGAGGCCCUCGACCGGGCGAAAGCGGAGGAGAGGAUGGAGGAAGAGAGGAAAGCCGCUGCCGGAAAGGAGGCUUCGAAUUCCCUACCAAAGAAAGAGGAGAAGAAGAAGAAGGCUUUUGCAUGCUGCUAAAACCGUCUGUUUAUCGCUCUGUACUCGCUUGCGGUGGGCGCUGGCAUGACGAGCUCGAAGAGCCACCACCGUGAUCGCCAGUGCAUUCGAAGAGCAAGUGGUGUUGCGCUGCCUUUCUUGUAUGAUGUUUGUGGAGUCUUCUGCGAUCAGCGCGCUUACAAAGCAGGUGCAAAGCCUUACAACGUGGAGGAAAGUUGAUGAGACAGCUGAGGGCUAUUAACGUUCGAGGGUGCGCCUUAGGUUGAGACAAUAGGUUCCGAGAUCAACUACCACCAGUGCACACGCUAAAGAGUGUUAUCGCUCGCGUUUCAGGUGUCUUGACGUGGCAUGGUGGUGUUUUUUUUGUUCCAUCUCUUUAUGGCUGAGUAGUGGAUUAGGAUUUGGACUGCAGUUUUUGCGCGUUAGUUCGAAGAAAUAAAUGGGAGGCAGACAAGCACACACAUGCACACACACACACACACAUAUGCAAGAAAGCGCAUCCGCAGCGGACAUGUACGCUUUGAUUCAUUUAUGUACUCUCCUUUUUUUCUUUCUCGCUUUCUCACUGUAUCUCGGCUCUUUUGUUUGUUUAUCUCCUCGCAAGGAGAGAGUGGUGCGCUAAAGUCUUUUCUUUGAAAGAAGGGCAAAAAACAACAGAGGCAGCACGACCGAAACAAAGAAAAAAAGGGCGAUGCAGCGAGUUUGUAUCUUUCUUUUUCGUUUUCCUGUACGAUUUGUUUUUGUCCUUCUUCACGGCCCUUGAUGAUACCGGCCACCUCAGUGUGGUAUCAGGGUUCAGUGCCCAUUCCCUGGGGGCGCCAAGGGCCUGCACAGCCUGCCCUCGGGUACGGCUGCGGACUUUUGGUGCCGGCGGACAGGUCUGGGCUGGCGCGGUGCUGAAGUGGCUUGCGGUGAUGAUCACGCUUGGGCCAGCUCACUACGAAUCGUGUCGGCGAUUCAGCAAAUGUACGCAUCCGCCUACUGCUUUUCUGCUUUAGCUGCGUCGCGGUGAUGUGGAGUGUAAGCCUGGACCUAGCCUGCACCGUAUGCAGUGGGCCUUAACGGCGCCCAACGGUGCUGGUUGACGCGGUUCCUGGACAUAGCCGCAGUGAGCAGCAGAGGUAGGGAGGCCGUGGCUGUAUGCGCAUAUUAGCUGACCUGUUUGUGGGACAAUGACACGUUGAAGAGGAUCUUUUUUUUUCGCGUUGAUUCCUCAAGGCUAAAUGAGUAAGCGAAACAGAUGGGAUCACACCACCUCAACAGCAUACGCGCUCUCUUGGAUGAGCUGGAUGG